ACUUGGUGAUGUGGGCAUUUACCCAAAAGAUCCCUAAAUCGUUCCCAAGUAUUGAAAAAUUGUUCCCCAUCUAUUUGUGAAAAAGUGGUGAUUGCCUUUCUCAACU
This is a small nucleolar RNA of Malania oleifera, 106 nucleotides long. The record is from RefSeq and is a predicted model, not a curated record. NCBI's taxonomy places the organism in Eukaryota, Viridiplantae, Streptophyta, Magnoliopsida, Santalales, Ximeniaceae.